RNAcentral lists this ribosomal RNA (305 nucleotides) under uncultured bacterium. RNAcentral describes it as "bacterial SSU rRNA". It matches the Rfam family "Bacterial small subunit ribosomal RNA", at positions 337 to 640 of the family's 1533-position model. The record is from RNAcentral.
UCCUACGGGGCGCAGCAGUGAGGAAUAUUGGUCAAUGGGCGAGAGCCUGAACCAGCCAAGUCGCGUGAGGGAAGACGGUCCUAUGGAUUGUAAACCUCUUUUGCCGGGGAGCAAAAAGCGGUACGUGUACCGCAUCGAGAGUACCCGGAGAAAAAGCAUCGGCUAACUCCGUGCCAGCAGCCGCGGUAAUACGGAGGAUGCGAGCGUUAUCCGGAUUUAUUGGGUUUAAAGGGUGCGUAGGCGGAUUUUUAAGUCAGCGGUAAAAUGUCCGGGCUCAACCCGGGCCGGCCGUUGAAACUGGGGAU